GUGAUACACGGGGUAACUUACGAUAAUUGAGAUGCUGAAAGGUAACAUGGUUUUUGCCAACCUUCAAAAGAUUUUGCAAGUUAAUAAAAAAUCACCGUAGUGACCUCUUUAAGAAUAAAACGGUUUUUCUUUCCUACACAACACAUACACACGUGUAAAGACUUGUACCUUACCUAGGACAUCCUGCUCCAUCUUCGUCUCAUCACCUCUGACCUGUCGCCGCUGCUUUAGAGACCAUGUCAGUGUUAUUUUCAAUGCCACUUAGAGCAGAAAGAUAAGUUCAUCAGAGUCUCCUUUCUACUCACUCCAGGGCUGGAAAAAGUAAUGUCUGUAACGUCUUCCUGAAAAACAAAUAGGUGAUACGAAGGAGUUUAUUCUAUUUGUUCACUCUGAUAGUGUUUAAAAUAUUUUUUAAGGAUUAAAAACUAAAUAUGUGCAAAGUUAAAAAAAAAAAAAAAAACCCAAGUUAACCUUGUUGAAAAAAUUUUAUCAAUUUACGUAUCUUUCCAGGUCAAACAGUGCCAACAUUUUGAGCUGUGCCCUAGACAUGCAAAAUAAGCACUGGGCAUGAUGAUACUUUUUUUUUUCUCUCAGUCUGUAAUCACU
This 606-nucleotide long non-coding RNA is filed under the name Bos taurus (domestic cattle). RNAcentral describes it as "long non-coding RNA NONBTAT020612". The record is from RNAcentral. Lineage: Eukaryota; Metazoa; Chordata; Mammalia; Artiodactyla; Bovidae.